Molecule: ribosomal RNA, 459 nt
Filed under: uncultured bacterium
Lineage: Bacteria
Description: partial 16S ribosomal RNA
Rfam family: Bacterial small subunit ribosomal RNA
Source: RNAcentral
CCUACGGGAGGCAGCAGUGAGGAAUAUUGGUCAAUGGGCGGAAGCCUGAACCAGCCAAGUAGCGUGCGGGAUGAAGGCCCUACGGGUCGUAAACCGCUUUUGCACGGGGAUAACACCCUCCACUUGUGGAGGUCUGCAGGUACCGUGCGAAUAAGGGCCGGCUAAUUCCGGUCCAGCAGCCGCGGUAAUACGGAAGGUCCGAGGGUUAUCCGGAUUCAUUGGGCUUAACGGGAGCGUAGGCGGGCGUUCAAGUCAGCUGUAAAGUCGCGCGGCUCAACCGCGCCCCGCAGUUGAAACUGGACGCCCUGAGUUCACAACAGGCAGGCGGAAUUCGAGGUGUAGCGGUGAAAUGCAUAGAUAUAACGAGGAACCCCGAUUGCGAAGGCAGCCUGCCGGGGUGCGACUGACGCUGAGGCUCGAAGGUGCGGGUAUCAAACAGGAUUAGAUACCCUGGUAGUC